GUCUGCAUACAAAACAGAAGAAACCAUUCAAGAAAGUUGAUUCAAGCUUUAGGAGAAUACCUCCAAGCAGAUGGAAUCCUAUACAAAACAAGUACAAACCUCCAUAGGAUGACUAAAAGAAGCAUCACCUCAGCAAAGAUCAGCACCUUCAAAGCAAUUCGUUCAUUCAAUAUCAAUGUAGUUUGGAAGUACAAAGUUAGUUUCCACUAUCCAGUUAGGAUAGUCACUUGCAGCACAAAUACAGGAUCCAAUUUUGUUCCUUGGUAGCUAUGAAAUAUGUUGCUAGAUGUAUUUCCCAAAGUUUUAUAAAUGUGAAUACUAUUAAGUUCUUCA
Solanum tuberosum (potato) is the source of this 333-nucleotide long non-coding RNA. RefSeq lists it as uncharacterized. The record is from RefSeq and is a predicted model, not a curated record. The transcript is spliced from 2 exons. NCBI's taxonomy places the organism in Eukaryota, Viridiplantae, Streptophyta, Magnoliopsida, Solanales, Solanaceae.